ACCAUAAAUAUAGGGAUGAAAUGAAAGUGACAGUUCUUGAAGAGCUGAAGAAGUCAAAGUUCUCUGUUCAGAAUCCAUUUUAGUUUACAAAUUUUUUUAAAUUUGGGUGAAAGAGAAAGCAAUGUUGGACUAUCUCCCAGAAGAAGUGGUUCAGGAGAUUCUGAACAGACUACCAGUCAAAUCCCUAAUUCAAUUCAGGCGUGUUUCCAAAUCAUGGAACUCUCUAAUCACAGCCUCUUCCUUCAUCAAUUCCCACCUCACUCGAUCACUUUCACUUGUUCCCAACUCCAACACACUAGUUGUUAGGAGCUGCACCGCUUCUGAAUCCAAGGUAGUAGAGAGCUAAAAUUUCAUUCACGAUGACAAUAAGGAUGACUCCUUGUUAAACCCAUUUCAGAAUAUUGAGUUUUCAUCAUUGAGUUUCUCUAAGUUAAUUGGCUAUGCGAAUGGCUUGUCCUGUCUUUAUGAACAAGACCGUUAAGUUCUUUGGAAUCCUUCUGUUAGAAAAUGUUUCACCCUUCCAAAGUCUUCCCUUAUUCUCAUACGCGGCCAGCAUUGUUGUUGUUCUGCAUUCGGGUUUGAUUCACUAUCCAAUGAUUAUAAGGUGGUGACAAUUGAUUUUCAACAUACUGAUCAGAAUGAUCAGUCUGAGAGCAAGCCAGCUUUGGCUGAGGUUUAUUCUCUUAAAGAGGGUUCUUGGAGAAUAACUACUACUAGAGUCCCUUCUCCGCCUUGAAUCAUAUUUGAUUUCAGUUUCCCAGCAGCCUUUUUAAAUGGGGCUGUCAAUUAUACGGUGAACGAUUUGGCCAAUGGCCGUGUACCAAGGAUUCGUGAUUUGGCCAAUCGCCAUGGACCAAGGAUUCGUCCAUCAGUUUUGUCCUUUGAUUUAAGUAAUGAGGCUUUUCGUGUGAUGUCGUUGCCAGUAGGGAUGAUACAUUCAUAUGCAUUGGACACUUCAGUGAUCAGGGGAGCACUUUUUAUAUUAUGUCAUGCUUUAUUAUGUCAGGGGAAUAAGUGCUAUGAUGUUUGUUCCAUUUGGGUGAUGAAAAAGUAUGGCGUUGUUGAUUCUUGGACUAAACUUUGCAAUUUUAAUCUUACUGGAGGAAUUACGAGGGUAUUAGGUUUCCGGAAGAGUGGUCAUAUGUUAGUGACAACAGCAAGAGCGCUUUCUGUUGGGUUCACUUCAUAUGACCCUAAGAAUCGAGAAGUUAAGAAGUUGGGGAUGUAUGGGGCAACAAUAGAUUAUUGUGCUAAUAAUUUUGUGGAGAACCUUGUCUUACUUGACAAACCAAAUGAUGCAGUUUCUCAAAGGGGAGUGACCCAGAAGAGGAAAGUUACAUGGAAGAGGAAAUGCAGGUCACGGUCCCUUCAAUCGGACCAAAUCAGUGCUGUGAACCCUUAGGGUUGUGGCCAGGAAGGCAUCAUCCUUAGCAGGUGGCAUUGGCAGGUAAGAAAUAUAAGUUGUGGGUUUAGCACAACAAUCAUUCAGUGUGGAGCAAUUUAUAUUUUGUAACUAAUAAAUAAUAAUCUGAAAAGAUUAUAAAUUAUUGCUGA
This is a long non-coding RNA of Quercus lobata, 1554 nucleotides long. RefSeq lists it as uncharacterized. Lineage: Eukaryota; Viridiplantae; Streptophyta; Magnoliopsida; Fagales; Fagaceae. The transcript is spliced from 3 exons. The record is from RefSeq and is a predicted model, not a curated record.